Molecule: ribosomal RNA, 237 nt
Filed under: Triticum aestivum (bread wheat)
Lineage: Eukaryota; Viridiplantae; Streptophyta; Magnoliopsida; Poales; Poaceae
Description: partial small subunit ribosomal RNA
Source: RNAcentral
AUGGAUGACAGCGCCCUGAACUUCAUGUCAUGGAAUGUUAGGGGGUUAAACUGCCCGGCAAAGCGUACUGCGAUCAACGAUGUAGCCUCCGCGCAUAGAUUAGCUGUGUUAUGUUUGCAGGAAACCAAGAUAGAGGUGUGGUCGACGACGGUCGCCAGGGAGAUCGGUGGCUCUACGAUGCAGGGCUGCGUGGUUCUGCCGGCAGUAGGAACUAGGGGAGGUGUAGCGAUCUUCUAG